This is a long non-coding RNA of Poecilia reticulata (guppy), 1059 nucleotides long. RefSeq lists it as uncharacterized. Lineage: Eukaryota; Metazoa; Chordata; Actinopteri; Cyprinodontiformes; Poeciliidae. The record is from RefSeq and is a predicted model, not a curated record.
AAUGGAUUAUAUAAAUCUUUAAAGAUCCAAAAUAUAAAAUGUCUUAUUAAAAUAAAAAAAAAUUGCCACAUUUACGGGGGAUCAUCAGUCGUUUUCCAUUUUAUUGGCCAGAUUUUUAACCUUUCUUGGACUGCGGUUCAAAUUUUCUGAGACAAUUUGGGUUUUUCGUGAUCUUUAAGUUAUAAUCAUCAACAUGUUAAGAAAUGAAAGGGAUUGAAACAUUUCAUUAAAUGUGUUGUAAUUCUGCAUGAUAUGAUUUUCACUUUUUGAAAUGAGUGACAAAAGCUGUUGAACUUUUAGACAAUAUUACAUUUGGAAAUGUACCUGUAGAUUUAAAUAUUACAGUUUGGUCUAAUCCAACUUCGACAUGCUCCCUUCGUGGCAUGUAGGAAACUGUAAACUGGUUUCAUUGGGUUCUCAGCAGUCUCUCUCUUCUUGCUUCUCUUGCAUUCAGAACAUCUCUCUGGCGUCUCCGUAACAGCCUCAGGACGAGGCACAAGGGUGUGGACCUUUACUGGACUGUGGCAAUCAGGUUGAGAGAAGAUAAGGAGAAAAAAAAAAACCUCUCUGGUCCACCCCAGAUGUCAUCACGGUAUGCUAAUGAGCUGAGGGGGGGGCAACCUUUUAAGUGCUGGAGCCCAACAGACUGAGCAGUUAGGAGACAUGGACCAGACGUGAACACUUGUAGUGAAGACGUCUAACGACAAGGGGCAAACAGACUCCAGACGAGCCAUGGACAAGCUGCUUGGUGGUUCUGUCUUGUGCCCUGGACAGGAUAUCAUCUUAUACUGUAAGUUUUUUAAAGAGACACUACAGUAUAGAUGAUGUACUAUCCAGGGUAUCAUUCCACCUCCGCCGGCGCCGGAGGAGACUCGGGCUGAAACGUCAGUAGGCCGAACACACAGCCGAGGGGGGCAGUUAAACCGUUACCAUUACUGAGUUUUAGUAAUGGUAAGGGUUCUACGGCCUUCACUCAAUGUCGACGAAGGAAAGGACGAGCUGGAGCAUUGUUACAUUUAAACCAAUAAUGUCAAAUAAAAAUGAUGGCUGUCUUCCUUA